RNAcentral lists this transfer RNA (69 nucleotides) under Marmota monax (woodchuck). Its description in RNAcentral is "tRNA.Ile". Lineage: Eukaryota; Metazoa; Chordata; Mammalia; Rodentia; Sciuridae. The record is from RNAcentral.
GAUUGUGGCUCAGUGGUACAGGGCUUGCCUGAUACGUAUGAGGCACUGGGUUUGAUUCUCAGCAGGACG